Molecule: ribosomal RNA, 1798 nt
Filed under: Salmonella enterica
Lineage: Bacteria; Pseudomonadati; Pseudomonadota; Gammaproteobacteria; Enterobacterales; Enterobacteriaceae
Also listed under: 1 other name
Description: partial 23S ribosomal RNA
Rfam family: Bacterial large subunit ribosomal RNA
Source: RNAcentral
ACAGGGUGACAGCCCCGUACACAAAAGCGCAUGUGCUGUGAGCUCGAUGAGUAGGGCGGGACACGUGGUAUCCUGUCUGAAUAUGGGGGGACCAUCCUCCAAGGCUAAAUACUCCUGACUGACCGAUAGUGAACCAGUACCGUGAGGGAAAGGCGAAAAGAACCCCGGCGAGGGGAGUGAAAAAGAACCUGAAACCGUGUACGUACAAGCAGUGGGAGCACAGGUUUACCUGUGUGACUGCGUACCUUUUGUAUAAUGGGUCAGCGACUUAUAUUCUGUAGCAAGGUUAACCGUAUAGGGGAGCCGAAGGGAAACCGAGUCUUAACCGGGCGUUAAGUUGCAGGGUAUAGACCCGAAACCCGGUGAUCUAGCCAUGGGCAGGUUGAAGGUUGGGUAACACUAACUGGAGGACCGAACCGACUAAUGUUGAAAAAUUAGCGGAUGACCUGUGGCUGGGGGUGAAAGGCCAAUCAAACCGGGAGAUAGCUGGUUCUCCCCGAAAGCUAUUUAGGUAGCGCCUCGUGAAUUCAUCUCCGGGGGUAGAGCACUGUUUCGGCUAGGGGGCCAUCCCGGCUUACCAACCCGAUGCAAACUGCGAAUACCGGAGAAUGUUAUCACGGGAGACACACGGCGGGUGCUAACGUCCGUCGUGAAGAGGGAAACAACCCAGACCGCCAGCUAAGGUCCCAAAGUCAUGGUUAAGUGGGAAACGAUGUGGGAAGGCCCAGACAGCCAGGAUGUUGGCUUAGAAGCAGCCAUCAUUUAAAGAAAGCGUAAUAGCUCACUGGUCGAGUCGGCCUGCGCGGAAGAUGUAACGGGGCUAAACCAUGCACCGAAGCUGCGGCAGCGACGCUGAUGCGUUGUUGGGUAGGGGAGCGUUCUGUAAGCCUGCGAAGGUGGCCUGUGAGGGUUGCUGGAGGUAUCAGAAGUGCGAAUGCUGACAUAAGUAACGAUAAAGCGGGUGAAAAGCCCGCUCGCCGGAAGACCAAGGGUUCCUGUCCAACGUUAAUCGGGGCAGGGUGAGUCGACCCCUAAGGCGAGGCCGAAAGGCGUAGUCGAUGGGAAACGGGUUAAUAUUCCCGUACUUGGUGUUACUGCGAAGGGGGGACGGAGAAGGCUAUGUUGGCCGGGCGACGGUUGUCCCGGUUUAAGCGUGUAGGUGUGUGUUCCAGGUAAAUCCGGUUCACUUUAACACUGAGGCGUGACGACGAGGCACUACGGUGCUGAAGCAACAAAUGCCCUGCUUCCAGGAAAAGCCUCUAAGCAUCAGGUAACAUCAAAUCGUACCCCAAACCGACACAGGUGGUCAGGUAGAGAAUACCAAGGCGCUUGAGAGAACUCGGGUGAAGGAACUAGGCAAAAUGGUGCCGUAACUUCGGGAGAAGGCACGCUGACACGUAGGUGAAGUGAUUUACUCAUGGAGCUGAAGUCAGUCGAAGAUACCAGCUGGCUGCAACUGUUUAUUAAAAACACAGCACUGUGCAAACACGAAAGUGGACGUAUACGGUGUGACGCCUGCCCGGUGCCGGAAGGUUAAUUGAUGGGGUCAGCGCAAGCGAAGCUCCUGAUCGAAGCCCCGGUAAACGGCGGCCGUAACUAUAACGGUCCUAAGGUAGCGAAAUUCCUUGUCGGGUAAGUUCCGACCUGCACGAAUGGCGUAAUGAUGGCCAGGCUGUCUCCACCCGAGACUCAGUGAAAUUGAACUCGCUGUGAAGAUGCAGUGUACCCGCGGCAAGACGGAAAGACCCCGUGAACCUUUACUAUAGCUUGACACUGAACAUUGAGCCUUGAUGUGUAG